GCACAGAGCUUUAUAUAGCAGCGUGGAAGAACCAUGUGGAAGUUGUUCAGCAGCUGCUGAAGGCUGGAGCAGAAGUGGACAAGGCGAAACAAGACGGAACUACACCACUGUACAUAGCAGCCGAGAAUGGACAUGUGGAAGUUGUGCAGCAGCUGCUGAAGGCUGGAGCAGAUGCGGACAAGGCUAAUGAGAACGGAUUCACACCACUGUUGGUAGCAGCCCAGGAGGGGCAUGUGG
This is a long non-coding RNA of Branchiostoma floridae (Florida lancelet), 237 nucleotides long. RefSeq lists it as uncharacterized. The transcript has 3 exons. NCBI's taxonomy places the organism in Eukaryota, Metazoa, Chordata, Leptocardii, Amphioxiformes, Branchiostomatidae. The record is from RefSeq and is a predicted model, not a curated record.